RNAcentral lists this ribosomal RNA (429 nucleotides) under Fusobacteriota bacterium. RNAcentral describes it as "Fusobacteria bacterium partial 16S ribosomal RNA". It matches the Rfam family "Bacterial small subunit ribosomal RNA", at positions 355 to 776 of the family's 1533-position model. Lineage: Bacteria; Fusobacteriati; Fusobacteriota. The record is from RNAcentral.
UGGGGAAUAUUGCGCAAUGGGCGAAAACCUGACGCAGCGACGCCGCGUGAGGGAUGAAGGUUUUCGGAUCGUAAACCUCUGUCAGAAGGGAAGAAACCGCACUGUGCUAAUCAACAGUGCCUUGACGGUACCUUCAAAGGAAGCACCGGCUAACUCCGUGCCAGCAGCCGCGGUAAUACGGAGGGUGCAAGCGUUAAUCGGAAUUACUGGGCGUAAAGCGCACGUAGGCUGCUUUGUAAGUCAGGGGUGAAAUCCCACGGCUCAACCGUGGAACUGCCUUUGAUACUGCUUAGCUUGAAUCCGGGAGAGGGUGGCGGAAUUCCAGGUGUAGGAGUGAAAUCCGUAGAUAUCUGGAGGAACAUCAGUGGCGAAGGCGGCCACCUGGACCGGUAUUGACGCUGAGGUGCGAAAGCGUGGGGAGCAAACAGG